GGUCGGGAUAGCUCAGCUGGUARAGCARAGGACUGAAAAUCCUCGUGUC
RNAcentral lists this transfer RNA (49 nucleotides) under Sedum modestum. Its description in RNAcentral is "partial tRNA-Phe". Lineage: Eukaryota; Viridiplantae; Streptophyta; Magnoliopsida; Saxifragales; Crassulaceae. The record is from RNAcentral.